GCCUUGGUGGUGUAAUGAUAUAGCACUCGCCCCCUGUAUGGAUGAAACACGGGUUCGAUUCUUGGCUGAGGCC
Molecule: non-coding RNA, 73 nt
Organism: Parelaphostrongylus tenuis
Lineage: Eukaryota; Metazoa; Nematoda; Chromadorea; Rhabditida; Metastrongylidae
Source: the annotation of a GenBank genome assembly